This is a non-coding RNA of Amborella trichopoda, 1401 nucleotides long. The record is from RefSeq and is a predicted model, not a curated record. Lineage: Eukaryota; Viridiplantae; Streptophyta; Magnoliopsida; Amborellales; Amborellaceae.
UCUCAGGCAGUUAACCUUUUCUCAAAAAAAACAAGAUGGUUUCUCAGUUACCUCUAUUGUUAAAUCAAUGUAUUUUUUUGCCGGUGGUAGAGAUGGGAUUUACGCUAGUAGUAUUGGCUCAUAUUUGGGACAAUUCCAUGCCGGAUGAAAAGAACAGUAUGUUAUGCCAGGAGUGGAGGUCUUGCUGUUCAACCAUUGCGUGCAUGUUUUCAGCUCUGCUGCAGGAAGCUUGGUUGCUUGCUGUACAGGAACAUGCAUAGUUUAGUAUUUCACCCCCAUCAUGAUGUAUGGAGGACAUGUCCAUCUGAUGCCAUAAAAGAAGUUGUUCAUUUGUAUAGAGGGUGUGGAGUAAUGGGAGUUGCCAGCCCCACCUGCACCUCCUAUUUCCAUGCCUUCAAUAAUUGAAGGCAUCGAUGCAUUUAUCAAAGAAGCCAUGGAAGGAUACCAAGCUGUAACAUGGAAAGCUUGCUUCUGUGCGCAUGUUUUGCUCCAUUUGCCAAGGUUCUCAUUUGAAACUGAAGGAACUAAGCAGGCAUUAGCAAUUGUUUUUUGCAAAGUUUCAUUUUCACGUUCUCUUGACAUUCGAAGCAAGCCAAUGGCUUUGAGAAAACCUUUUUUGCUGGUUAUUGCAUCUCGUUACAUAUGUUGCCCUGGUUAUAUAAAAAAGGCUUUGGAGAAGGAUGUGGAUGAAGGUCUCACUGUGUGGGUGUGUGGAGUCAAGAGUGGUGUAUAUUUUUGCUCAUUUGUUCCAGCCUCGUCAUUCAUCUGGCUCCAAGAUAAAGUUGGCUGCUGGACUCUAAAAGUUGCACGAGUGCCUGAAUUCUCAUUCUAGAGCAAUCUUUUCGGGAGAGGAGCAACUAUGUAGUGGAAGACCCUAAACAGCCUCACUAUUCUUCAAGCUACUAUCAAACCAUUCCAAGUCAGUUGUAUCACUUUUUCUGUUCUAUGAUGUGACUUAAUAUUUCUAAUGGGCAAUCUCAAUACUGAUUGUGACAUGCAUGAUGAGAGUGAUUUCAAGUUAAUUAAACCCUGGUAAUGCACAUUCCAUAAUAUUGUUUUAUAGCAUGUUAAUGAUAUUUCUAUCUCGAACUCUAAUUUACGUGGGGAACAAAAUGUCUUCUAAAUUAGGGAAUGGGAGGAGGGGGCUGUGGUCAAGAAUAAAGAGGAGGGUAGGUAGUGAUAGUGGAGUUGACUGCAUGGUUGCUUGAGAAAUUUCGAGCCUGGCCAUGGAGCGAGGUAUUGCUUGCUUGGAUCACCAUGAUUUGACAUUCAUUUGGUGAGGUCUAAAAUAGAUGGACGGACGGUUUGUGGGAAUAGAAAGAUGCUUUUUUCUUUUUGGUGGUGGAGAAGGAAGGGACAGUGACGCUGCAAGGGUAGCGAACCAAAAGACUAAGUUGUGGA